AGAGUUUGAUCCUGGCUCAGGACGAACGCUGGCUGCGUGCUUAACACAUGCAAGUCGAACGCUGAAGCCUGGUGCUUGCACCGGGUGGAUGAGUGGCGAACGGGUGAGUAACACGUGAGUAACCUGCCCCUGACUUCGGGAUAAGCCCGGGAAACUGGGUCUAAUACCGGAUACGACUGCCGGACGCAUGUCUGGUGGUGGAAAGUUUUUUCGGUUGGGGAUGGGCUCGCGGCCUAUCAGUUUGUUGGUGAGGUAAUGGCUCACCAAGACGACGACGGGUAGCCGGCCUGAGAGGGCGACCGGCCACACUGGGACUGAGACGCGGCCCAGACUCCUACGGGAGGCAGCAGUGGGGAAUAUUGCACAAUGGGGGAAACCCUGAUGCAGCGACGCAGCGUGCGGGAUGACGGCCUUCGGGUGUAAACCGCUUUCAGCAGGGAAGAAGCGAAAGUGACGGUACCUGCAGAAGAAGUACCGGCUAACUACGUGCCAGCAGCCGCGGUAAUACGUAGGGUACGAGCGUUGUCCGGAAUUAUUGGGCGUAAAGAGCUCGUAGGUGGUUGGUCACGUCUGCUGUGGAAACGCAACGCUUAACGUUGCGCGUGCAGUGGGUACGGGCUGACUAGAGUGCAGUAGGGGAGUCUGGAAUUCCCGGUGUAGCGGUGAAAUGCGCAGAUAUCAGGAGGAAC
This 689-nucleotide ribosomal RNA is filed under the name Brevibacterium casei. RNAcentral's name for it is "bacterial SSU rRNA". It matches the Rfam family "Bacterial small subunit ribosomal RNA", at positions 8 to 707 of the family's 1533-position model. The record is from RNAcentral. Lineage: Bacteria; Bacillati; Actinomycetota; Actinomycetes; Micrococcales; Brevibacteriaceae.